CACAAAUGCAGAACGAAGUGGGUCUGGGCUCAAGCUGUUUGAGCACAGCCUUGGAUGUGAGAGCCCAGAAAAGGACUGGAGGAGUAAGGAUGAGGCCAGGGCUUGAGACUGGGCCUUGUGUGAACCUUAACCCAACCUCCUCACCUCGGAGAAGCCCUGAGCAAGAAUCCUUGCUAUACCAGACUGUGCAAGAUCCAGGCAGACCAAAACAUCUCCAAGACAAUUCCCACAUCACAGGACCAUAUCUGUCUCAUGGCUGACAACCUUGUCCUGAGCCUACAGGAUGAAAGUUUUACCCCCAGGGCUAUGACAGCCCAAAUGAGGACCCUAGUACAGAGUCCCCAGACUAUAAUCUCAGUACAGUGUUGCUGAAGAAGAGCUCUGGGCAAAAAUAUGAGUACAGGUUUGCCAACGACUGAAGAAGCAGAGUUAACACCUGUACUUUUGAGUAUUUUGAUAUUUGUGUACUUGUCACAUUUUUAUACUCCUCUACAGUCAAUUUAUUCUAUGUAUGGAAAUUCCCUUUCCAUGUUAAUUUAAUGCAUUUAAAAGAAAUCUCUGUUCAGAAUGUUACUCGUAAUAAUAAUGUGUUGUUUUCAUUGUUGUUUUUUUACUGGUGGAAAAUAAAUUCCUGCAGUUUAAUAAGGAUUCAUGACACUACUCAGAUGAUGAAAAUUCUUCGAUUUUAACUUGCUAUUGGUUUUCAUAAUUAUCCCAAUUCUACAGCAUACAUACCAGAAUAAUAACGUAUAUUU
This is a long non-coding RNA of Suricata suricatta (meerkat), 755 nucleotides long. RefSeq lists it as uncharacterized. NCBI's taxonomy places the organism in Eukaryota, Metazoa, Chordata, Mammalia, Carnivora, Herpestidae. The record is from RefSeq and is a predicted model, not a curated record. The transcript has 3 exons.